Molecule: non-coding RNA, 28 nt
Filed under: Mus musculus (house mouse)
Lineage: Eukaryota; Metazoa; Chordata; Mammalia; Rodentia; Muridae
Source: RNAcentral
UGCUAUAAUGGGAAAUUGAAAUGGAUCA